CUGAGUGUGGUGCAGUGGGAGCACGUCGGUUCGGGGAACCGGAGGUCGUAGUUCAAUCCCUACCACUGAGACCA
Molecule: transfer RNA, 74 nt
Filed under: Leptolyngbya sp. Cla-17
Lineage: Bacteria; Bacillati; Cyanobacteriota; Cyanophyceae; Leptolyngbyales; Leptolyngbyaceae
Description: tRNA-Pro
Rfam family: tRNA
About the family: Transfer RNA (tRNA) molecules are approximately 80 nucleotides in length. Their secondary structure includes four short double-helical elements and three loops (D, anti-codon, and T loops).
Source: RNAcentral